This is a transfer RNA of Loxodonta africana (African savanna elephant), 68 nucleotides long. It matches the Rfam family "tRNA". Rfam says of the family: Transfer RNA (tRNA) molecules are approximately 80 nucleotides in length. The record is from Rfam. NCBI's taxonomy places the organism in Eukaryota, Metazoa, Chordata, Mammalia, Proboscidea, Elephantidae.
GGUGGCUUAGUGGUUAGGAGCUUUGGCUGCUAACCAAAAGGUCGGCCGUUCGAAUCUGCCAGCCACUC